UUCAGGUUCAAGGAUGGAAGUUUCUCGACGCCAGGUGGUUGCAGGAUGGUUUUCUGUCCGUCCGUUUUAUCGUCGGUUCGGGUAUUUCCGGUUUCCGGCAACCUAUGAGUUGAAAUGUACCGCGGGAUUAUUCCUAACUAGGCCUGAGCUCAAUCCUAUCAUUCUCGCGCACGCUUGGAACAAUUUCAUCCAGCGGACUGGCUUCGAGCAACUAACGCAAGGUAUGCCUAUUAACGUAUAUAUAUAUUUCUCUUUUUUUUUUGUUUUCUAAAAAAAUUUUUUUUUUUUAUAUAUUUUCUUUUUAUAUAUGGAAAUUAUUUAAAAGGGCUGGUUCCGUUCGUCCUGUCGUUCGGGUAAGAAGUACACUAUGUCGAAAACCUUAAUACCUGUGCACCACAGGACUGAUGGUGCGAAUUUGCCAGAGUAGUCCCACGAUGGAUGGAGCUGGCGAUGGCGUGGCUCAGCGUUGGCUGUUUUAGUUUUAUUAUCCUGUUUUACUUAAUUUGAUGUAUUACUUUAUUUAUUUUUAAGUUUUAUUUUAAGUUUAGUUUUAAAUUUGUAAUUUAUUAAAUGAAUAAUAAAAAAAUAAAAAAAAUUCAA
Long non-coding RNA from Calliphora vicina (urban bluebottle blowfly), 600 nucleotides. RefSeq lists it as uncharacterized. NCBI's taxonomy places the organism in Eukaryota, Metazoa, Arthropoda, Insecta, Diptera, Calliphoridae. The record is from RefSeq and is a predicted model, not a curated record. The transcript has 2 exons.